Molecule: long non-coding RNA, 185 nt
Organism: Syngnathus acus (greater pipefish)
Lineage: Eukaryota; Metazoa; Chordata; Actinopteri; Syngnathiformes; Syngnathidae
Exons: 2
Source: RefSeq, a predicted model, not a curated record
AAGAUGACUUUUCAUCUAGGUAGUCAUUGAGUGGAAGGAACGUGAACUGACGAGUCGACAACAGGCUACUACGAUGAACAACGCAAUCAAGCUGUUGAUCUUGGCUUUUGCUGUCGCCAUGCUGAUCACAACUGGUGAUGCUCUGACAUGCACAAGCUGUUUGCCCUUUGGUAGACGGUGUCUUC